UGGGGAAUAUUGCACAAUGGAGGGAACUCUGAUGCAGCGACGCCGCGUGAACGAAGAAGGCUUUCGAGUCGUAAAGUUCUUUUAUAUGGGAAGAUAAUGACGGUACCAUAAGAAAAAGCCCCGGCUAACUACGUGCCAGCAGCCGCGGUAAUACGUAGGGGGCUAGCGUUGUCCGGAAUCACUGGGCGUAAAGGGUUCGCAGGCGGAAAUGCAAGUCAGGUGUAAAAGGCAGUAGCUUAACUACUGUAAGCAUUUGAAACUGCAUAUCUUGAGAAGAGUAGAGGUAAGUGGAAUUUUUAGUGUAGCGGUGGAAUGCGUAGAUAUUAAAAAGAAUACCGGUGGCGAAGGCGACUUACUGGGCUCAUUCUGACGCUGAGGAACGAAAGCGUGGGUAGCAAACAGG
RNAcentral lists this ribosomal RNA (403 nucleotides) under bacterium. Its description in RNAcentral is "partial 16S ribosomal RNA". It matches the Rfam family "Bacterial small subunit ribosomal RNA", at positions 355 to 776 of the family's 1533-position model. RNAcentral also lists the same sequence under 2 other names. The record is from RNAcentral.